CAAACCAAAGCUGGCGACCGGCGCACGGGUGAGUACACGUAUCCAACCUGCCUCAUACUCGGGGAUAGCCUUUCGAAAGAAAGAUUAAUAUCCGAUAGCAUAUAUUUCCCGCAUGGGUUUUAUAUUAAAGAAAUUCGGUAUGAGAUGGGGAUGCGUUCCAUUAGUUUGUUGGGGGGGUAACGGCCCACCAAGACUACGAUGGAUAGGGGUUCUGAGAGGAAGGUCCCCCACAUUGGAACUGAGACACGGUCCAA
This 254-nucleotide ribosomal RNA is filed under the name uncultured bacterium. Its description in RNAcentral is "partial 16S ribosomal RNA". It matches the Rfam family "Bacterial small subunit ribosomal RNA", at positions 74 to 334 of the family's 1533-position model. The record is from RNAcentral.